This 169-nucleotide long non-coding RNA is filed under the name Chinchilla lanigera (long-tailed chinchilla). RNAcentral describes it as "lncRNA (ENSCLAG00000029284.1)". Lineage: Eukaryota; Metazoa; Chordata; Mammalia; Rodentia; Chinchillidae. The record is from RNAcentral.
CUACCAUGUACAAGGGCACUUCUCCCCCAGAAGGAAGCUACCGUCUGGGACUGCCUGGCCCCUGAAAGUCAUCCUCAGGAUUUAAUGAUUUCUCUACUGAUGAUCUUACCUUAGAGUCAUAGAGAAAAAGCAAAAUUCUGAAGUAUGAAUACCAUAUGCUAGAGACACC